CCUACGGGUGGCAGCAGUGGGGAAUAUUGGACAAUGGGGGGAACCCUGAUCCAGCCAUGCCGCGUGUGUGAAGAAGGCCCUCGGGUUGUAAAGCACUUUCAGUGAGGAAGAACGCCUGGUGGUUAAUACCCAUCAGGAAAGACAUCACUCACAGAAGAAGCACCGACUAACUCCGUGCCAGCAGCCGCGGUAAUACGGAGGGUGCGAGCGUUAAUCGGAAUUACUGGGCGUAAAGCGCGCGUAGGUGGCUUGAUAAGCCGGUUGUGAAAGCCCCGGGCUCAACCUGGGAACGGCAUCCGGAACUGUCAAGCUAGAGUGCAGGAGAGGAAGGUAGAAUUCCCGGUGUAGCGGUGAAAUGCGUAGAGAUCGGGAGGAAUACCAGUGGCGAAGGCGGCCUUCUGGACUGACACUGACACUGAGGUGCGAAAGUGUGGGUAGCAAACAGGAUUAGAUACCCGUGUAGUC
This 465-nucleotide ribosomal RNA is filed under the name Vreelandella stevensii. RNAcentral describes it as "partial 16S ribosomal RNA". It matches the Rfam family "Bacterial small subunit ribosomal RNA", at positions 338 to 795 of the family's 1533-position model. Lineage: Bacteria; Pseudomonadati; Pseudomonadota; Gammaproteobacteria; Oceanospirillales; Halomonadaceae. The record is from RNAcentral.